UUAUUUGAGAGUUUGAUCCUGGCUCAGGAUGAACGCUGGCGGCGUGCCUAACACAUGCAAGUUGAGCGAUUUACUUCGGUAAAGAGCGGCGGACGGGUGAGUAACGCGUGGGUAACCUACCCUAUACACACGGAUAACAUACCGAAAGGUAUGCUAAUACGGGAUAAUAUAUUUGAGAGGCAUCUCUUGAAUAUCAAAGGUGAGCCAGUACAGGAUGGACCCGCGUCUGAUUAGCUAGUUGGUAAGGUAACGGCUUACCAAGGCGACGAUCAGUAGCCGACCUGAGAGGGUGAUCGGCCACAUUGGAACUGAGACACGGUCCAAACUCCUACGGGAGGCAGCAGUGGGGAAUAUUGCACAAUGGGCGAAAGCCUGAUGCAGCAACGCCGCGUGAGUGAUGAAGGCCUUCGGGUCGUAAAACUCUGUCCUCAAGGAAGAUAAUGACGGUACUUGAGGAGGAAGCCCCGGCUAACUACGUGCCAGCAGCCGCGGUAAUACGUAGGGGGCUAGCGUUAUCCGGAUU
This 523-nucleotide ribosomal RNA is filed under the name Clostridioides difficile. Its description in RNAcentral is "bacterial SSU rRNA". It matches the Rfam family "Bacterial small subunit ribosomal RNA", at positions 1 to 551 of the family's 1533-position model. The record is from RNAcentral. Lineage: Bacteria; Bacillati; Bacillota; Clostridia; Peptostreptococcales; Peptostreptococcaceae.